Molecule: ribosomal RNA, 437 nt
Filed under: uncultured bacterium
Lineage: Bacteria
Description: partial 16S ribosomal RNA
Rfam family: Bacterial small subunit ribosomal RNA
Source: RNAcentral
AGCGAACGCUGGCGGCAGGCUUAACACAUGCAAGUCGAGCGGGCAUCCUUGUGGUGUCAGCGGCAGACGGGUGAGUAACGCGUGGGAACGUGCCCUUCGGUUCGGAAUAACUCAGGGAAACUUGAGCUAACACCGGAUACGUGCGAGAGCAGAAAGGUUUAUCUGCCGAAGGAUCGGCCCGCGUCUGAUUAGCUAGUUGGUGAGGUUACGGCUCACCAAGGCGACGAUCAGUAGCUGGUCUGAGAGGAUGAUCAGCCACACUGGGACUGAGACACGGCCCAGACUCCUACGGGAAGCAGCAGUGGGGAAUAUUGGACAAUGGGGGCAACCCUGAUCCAGCCAUGCCGCGUGAGUGAUGACGGCCUUAGGGUUGUAAAGCUCUUUUCUCCGGGACGAUAAUGACGGUACCGGAGGAAUAAGCCCCGGCUAACUUCGUG